Molecule: ribosomal RNA, 692 nt
Filed under: Lichenothelia papilliformis
Lineage: Eukaryota; Fungi; Ascomycota; Dothideomycetes; Lichenotheliales; Lichenotheliaceae
Description: SSU rRNA
Rfam family: Bacterial small subunit ribosomal RNA
Source: RNAcentral
CAAUUUUCUAUCUAAAUGUCUUGACCAAGUCACGUGCCAGCAGUCGCGGUAAUACGUGGAAGACUAGUGUUAUUCAUCUUUAAUAGGUUUAAAGGGUACCUAGACGGUAUUUCUAGCCCCAAAAGGGUACGGAUUUACUAGAGUUUUAUGUGAGAGGCAAAUAUUAGUACUAUUGGUGUAGAGAUGAAAUUCUUUGAUACUACUAGGACUGGUGGCGGCGAAAGCAACCCUCUAAGUAUAAACUGACGUUGAGGGACGAAGGCUUGGGUAGCGAAUAGGAUUAGAUACCCUAGUAGUCCAGGCAGAAAAUUAUGAGUGCCAUAGACUAGAUUAAAUAAUUUUGGUCUAUAAAUGAAAGUGUAAGCAUUCCACCUCAAGAGUAAUGUGGCAACGCAGGAACUGAAAUCAUUAGACCGUUUCUGAAACCAGUAGUGAAGUAUGUUAUUUAAUUCGAUAACCCUCGAAAAACCUUACCACAAUUUGAAUGUAAUACAUGAAGUAGUCUAAUAAUUGUCUAGUCAACAAUUCUAUGACAUGAAGUAGUCUAAUAAUUGUCUACUCAACUAUUUCAUGUAUUAACACAAGCGUUGCACGGCUGUCUUCAGUUAAUGUCGUGAGAACUUGGUUAGAUCCAUUAAAUUAACGUAAUCCCUUUCGUUAGUUCUCUGAACUAAWGAAGUUCACCGCUAUAU